Triticum aestivum (bread wheat) is the source of this 1736-nucleotide long non-coding RNA. RefSeq lists it as uncharacterized. Lineage: Eukaryota; Viridiplantae; Streptophyta; Magnoliopsida; Poales; Poaceae. The record is from RefSeq and is a predicted model, not a curated record. The transcript has 3 exons.
UCGAGGCUGAGGGGAAUGAGAGCGCAUCCAUCCGGAAUCGAGCCGCAGAGAGGGGUGGCCGGUUCCAUCCAUCGAAGACCGCCAGUGUGCGUCCGUCCACCUGAGGUCAGGGAUGGGAUCGAGUCCAUCCGGUCGAUCCCUGGGUUUGCACCGAUGCGACGGACCCGGUCCGUUCAGUUGCAUAGACGCGAGUUGCGCGACGGGAUUGGGUGUGGCGAUGAACAGCCGUGAAGUUCAAUCGUGAAGGAUGAUUGAUUGAGAGGUUAAUCAGCCAUCAAUUCCAAUCGAUGCUCCGGGUAGGUUCGACGUGUUACAGAUUUCAGCCCGCUCUGCUUGGCUAGAAGCUGAUGCCCAGCUGAAUUUGUCGGCUAAUGGACAUGUCAGUAUCAGUUUCCUCUUUAAUUAUGCCUCAUCUCAAAAACUGUACACUUGGAUUUCAUGGGAGAAGCGAAGCAGCCCUGGCUAUGGCUGUUGGGUGAUCUGCCGGGUUGAAAGAGGCGAUGAAUCAUCAGUUCUUGGAAGUGUUAAAGACAACUGAUGUGCGUUGCCGUUCGCCUGUAUCGUUUAAUGGAGAUAUACAUUGUUAUUUUCCUGACCUGCAGCUGCUUGACUUCAUGCGCCUGAAUAUGUAACUUCUGCCCGUCCUUCUCUUACUGUAGCAGCUAUGUUUCACGGUUGUAUUGCCAACUUUCUUUAUUUUCUCUUUCCCCUACGAUUCCCUCUUCCACUCAGCAAUUCUUUUUUGCUAAUGUCUUUCCAAACUCAGUUUGUGCAGGGGUUUGUCAAUCCUGGGUCUGGUCAACUAUUUGAUUCAGACAGAUCAUGGAGGCUGGUUCUCAUAUUUUGCUUGGUGAAUUCUUCAAUGCACAAUUUGCCAUGGCUGCUGAUCAGACAAUUAGUUCACUUGCAGGACUGCCACACCUCACCUCUUUAUGCAAAUAUAAUCCAACAUAGUCUAUUUCUGUCAUGUGCUUCAUCCAAAUGCUAACUGAACUUCAACAUAAACCAGUUACUUGUUUUGUUGUCUAAAGUUAUUUCAGACUUAGAACAUUUUGGUGUUUAGAGGUAGCUUUUCUGUACAAAGUUGUCGUGCUGCUAUAAUACUAACAUGUCACAAAUUGUCAGGAGAUAUUUAGAUAGAACUGAUUGAGUUAACAAGUUUAUCAUGAUGUAAUAUAUGCAUUGUGAUACAUUCUGCUAUACUGGUUCGAUGCUUGAUUUGUCAGUGUCGUUUCAUAUUCCGAGGAAGUCUCAUUCUUUGAGGGAGAACCUGAUUGAUGGUGAACCUAGGGACUUGGAAGUUUGCUUUGCCCAUUGGUUGAGAUUUAACGUAUGAAUAAGACUAACUUAUUUUACAACAGCACAUGACCACUUCUCAACAGAAGGCAAACUACUUACAUACAAUAAUUAUAAUCUCACUGAUAUGUCUGUCUCUUUUAUUAAUUUAAAUAAUUGGCAUUACUAGCAUAUUUAUCAAUUUGUAAAACAGAAUAAUCAUUUCUUUAAUUGUUCAUCUUUUUUAUUAACUGUUAGUAUAUAUGUAAUGCUCACUCUGCUUUUGCAGGCCCCUCGAGUCAUUUCAGUCCUACAGUGUUCAAAAAAUAUGUGUAAAGUGUAAACAGAUUGAUGGCUUAAGUAGACCUGAAAAGUUCAAGGAAGCUAUCCUUAUAUAUUUAGAAUUCCAUCUAUGCAUACAUCAGAAUAACUAUGUACUGGACCAUCUACGAUAUUCAUAA